This 497-nucleotide ribosomal RNA is filed under the name uncultured bacterium. RNAcentral describes it as "partial 16S ribosomal RNA". It matches the Rfam family "Bacterial small subunit ribosomal RNA", at positions 28 to 507 of the family's 1533-position model. The record is from RNAcentral.
GACGAACGCUGGCGGCGUGCCUAAUACAUGCAAGUAGAACGCUGAAGAGAGGAGCUUGCUCUUCUUGGAUGAGUUGCGAACGGGUGAGUAACGCGUAGGUAACCUGCCUUGUAGCGGGGGAUAACUAUUGGAAACGAUAGCUAAUACCGCAUAACAAUAGGUGACACAUGUCAUUUAUUUGAAAGGGGCAAUUGCUCCACUACAAGAUGGACCUGCGUUGUAUUAGCUAGUAGGUGAGGUAACGGCUCACCUAGGCGACGAUACAUAGCCGACCUGAGAGGGUGAUCGGCCACACUGGGACUGAGACACGGCCCAGACUCCUACGGGAGGCAGCAGUAGGGAAUCUUCGGCAAUAGGGGCAACCCUGACCGAGCAACGCCGCGUGAGUGAAGAAGGUUUUCGGAUCGUAAAGCUCGGUUGUAAGUCAAGAACGAGUGUGAGAGUGGAAAGUUCACACUGUGACGGUAGCUUACCAGAAAGGGACGGCUAACUACGUG